RNAcentral lists this ribosomal RNA (526 nucleotides) under uncultured bacterium. Its description in RNAcentral is "bacterial SSU rRNA". It matches the Rfam family "Bacterial small subunit ribosomal RNA", at positions 775 to 1308 of the family's 1533-position model. The record is from RNAcentral.
CGAAUAGACUACCCGAGGUAGUCCACGCCGUAAACGAUGGAUACUAGCUGUUCGGGAUUACCUGAGUGGCUAAGCGAAAGUGAUAAGUAUCCCACCUGGGGAGUACGGGCGCAAGCCUGAAACUCAAAGGAAUUGACGGGGGCCCGCACAAGCGGUGGAGCAUGUGGUUUAAUUCGAUGAUACGCGAGGAACCUUACCAGGGCUUAAAUGUAGGUUGCAUGAUCCAGAGAUGGGUCUUUCUUCGGACCACCUACAAGGUGCUGCAUGGUUGUCGUCAGCUCGUGCCGUGAGGUGUCAAGUUAAGUCCUAUAACGAGCGCAACCCCUAUUGUUAGUUGCCAGCGAGUCAUGUCGGGAACUCUAGCAAGACUGCCGGUGCAAACCGUGAGGAAGGUGGGGAUGACGUCAAAUCAUCACGGCCCUUACGUCCUGGGCUACACACGUGCUACAAUGGUGGGACAGAGAGCAGCCAUGGGCGACCAGGAGCGAAUCUAUAAACCCCGAUCACAGUUCGGAUCGGAGUCUGA